RNAcentral lists this long non-coding RNA (1034 nucleotides) under Ornithorhynchus anatinus (platypus). RNAcentral describes it as "lncRNA (ENSOANG00000047086.1)". Lineage: Eukaryota; Metazoa; Chordata; Mammalia; Monotremata; Ornithorhynchidae. The record is from RNAcentral.
GGGACUGUGUCUGACCCGAUUGAUGUGUAUCCAUCUCAGUGCUUAGAACAAGCGCUUGACAUCUAGUAAGAGCUGAAGACAUACACCACAAUUAUUAUUGUUAUUAGUCUUCCAGCAUAACCUUCGAUGGCUGUUCUGGCUUACUCUGUGCUUGUUUUACUUAAUCUUUAUGUGGCAUACCCUUCCAAGCUCUUUUGGUCAUGCGACUGCUGGGAGUUUCAUAGAUAACAUGCAAAUAAGGAUAUUGAAAAGUGGAAGGCAGGACAGAGCAACCACAGAGUUGCAAAAAAAGGAAGUGUGCAUUGCCGGCAGACUUGCACACUCACCGUACAAGUCAGAGCAUCUCUGGGGGUGCUGCAUGUGGAGUGUGCUGGCUGACCACUCUAAUUCUGGCCCCAACAAAGCACCGACUGCAUCUUACUCUCUGACCACCCCACCGCCACCUCCACCGGCCCAUCCUGCCACCCAGGCUCAACCCCCUCCACCAUCCUUCCCAACGCAACCUCCGGUCCCCAGCUUACCUCCAAGGAACAUCAAAGUUUCUGCUGAACCAAAGUAAGUAAAAAAUACCCUGCCAGGGUUGUUGAGAUAACUCUACGUUGGCUUAUGCCAGAAGUCGACGACGCUGUUUCUGUGGUGUUUGUGGUCCAUUGUUAAAUUGAACAUUUCAAUGCAAGGAGGGUGAAUAUAAAUUAGAAAUAAUCGUUUGAUGAUCUUUCUUCUCUACUCUGUAGUCCAGAAAAUGAUACAUUUUGGUCCUUAUUAAAUGUCAGGGGUAAGUACAGGAAGACUUAUUAAUGAAUGAAUCAAUCAGGAAAAUAUAUUGGAGCACCCCCUUUGUGUAAAUUAUUAUAUCUAAGGACUUGGUAAAGUACAAUAGAAGAAAAUAACAUAAUCCCUGUCCUCAAGGAGCUUCAAUUAAUGGGGAACAGGCAUAAUAUCACUUACGGAGAGGUUGCAGAAAUCUGGAUAGGAUAAAUAGAUAGGGAUUUAAUUAGUGGAGAAUGCAAAUUGAUGCACACCAAAGUUUUCCA